UCCUUGAUAGUCUAGUGGUCAGGAUAUCUGCUUGUCACCGAAAUAAGUCGGUAGCAUACGCAGGGGACCUGGGUUCAAUUCCCAGUCAGGGAG
This 93-nucleotide transfer RNA is filed under the name Colletotrichum incanum. It matches the Rfam family "tRNA". From Rfam's summary of the family: Transfer RNA (tRNA) molecules are approximately 80 nucleotides in length. Their secondary structure includes four short double-helical elements and three loops (D, anti-codon, and T loops). Further hydrogen bonds mediate the characteristic L-shaped molecular structure. tRNAs have two regions of fundamental functional importance: the anti-codon, which is responsible for specific mRNA codon recognition, and the 3' end, to which the tRNAs corresponding amino acid is attached (by aminoacyl-tRNA synthetases). tRNAs cope with the degeneracy of the genetic code in two manners: having more than one tRNA (with a specific anti-codon) for a particular amino acid; and 'wobble' base-pairing, i.e. permitting non-standard base-pairing at the 3rd anti-codon position. The record is from Rfam by way of RNAcentral. Lineage: Eukaryota; Fungi; Ascomycota; Sordariomycetes; Glomerellales; Glomerellaceae.